RNAcentral lists this long non-coding RNA (441 nucleotides) under Salmo salar (Atlantic salmon). RNAcentral's name for it is "lncRNA (ENSSSAG00000095816.1)". The record is from RNAcentral. Lineage: Eukaryota; Metazoa; Chordata; Actinopteri; Salmoniformes; Salmonidae.
UGAGGCUAUAUACAGGGGUACAGGUUAGUAAUGAGACUAUAUACAGGGGUACAUGUUAGUAAUGAGGCUAUAUACAGGGGUACAGGUUAGUAAUGAGACUAUAUACAGGGGUACAGGUUAGUAAUGAGGCUAUAUACAGGGGUACAGGUUAGUAAUGAGACUAUAUACAGGGGUACAGGUUAGUAAUGAGGCUAUAUACAGGGGGUACAGGUUAGUAAUGAGACUAUAUACAGGGGGUACAGGUUAGUAAUGAGGCUAUAUACAGGGGUACAGGUUAGUAAUGAGACUAUAUACAGGGGGUACAGGUUAGUAAUGAGGCUAUAUACAGGGGGUACAGGUUAGUAAUGAGGCUAUAUACAGGGGUACAGGUUAGUAAUGAGACUAUAUACAGGGGGUACAGGUUAGUAAUGAGGCUAUAUACAGGGGUACAGGUUAGUAAUG